This 486-nucleotide ribosomal RNA is filed under the name uncultured bacterium. RNAcentral describes it as "partial 16S ribosomal RNA". It matches the Rfam family "Bacterial small subunit ribosomal RNA", at positions 28 to 507 of the family's 1533-position model. The record is from RNAcentral.
GACGAACGCUGGCGGCGUGCUUAACACAUGCAAGUCGAACGCUGAAGACCUGGCUUUUGUUGGGUUGGAUGAGUGGCGAACGGGUGAGUAACACGUGAGUAACCUGCCCUCUUCUUUGGGAUAACGCCCGGAAACGGGUGCUAAUACUGGAUAUUCACUGAUCUUCGCAUGGGGGUUGGUGGAAAGGUUUGUUCUGGUGGGGGAUGGGCUCGCGGCCUAUCAGCUUGUUGGUGGGGUGAUGGCCUACCAAGGCUUUGACGGGUAGCCGGCCUGAGAGGGUGACCGGUCACAUUGGGACUGAGCUACGGCCCAGACUCAUACGGGAGGCAGCAGUGGGGAAUAUUGCACAAUGGGCGAAAGCCUGAUGCAGCGACGCCGCGUGAGGGAUGGAGGCCUUCGGGUUGUAAACCUCUUUCGCUCAUGGUCAAGCCGCAACUGUGGGUUGUGGUGAGGGUAGUGGGUAAAGAAGCGCCGGCUAACUACGUG